Molecule: transfer RNA, 50 nt
Filed under: Spirocerca lupi
Lineage: Eukaryota; Metazoa; Nematoda; Chromadorea; Rhabditida; Thelaziidae
Description: tRNA-Ser
Source: RNAcentral
AAUAAGGUUUUUUAGUCUUCUAAACUAAUGAUGGAUUUUUCCUCUUAUUU